Molecule: long non-coding RNA, 653 nt
Filed under: Bos taurus (domestic cattle)
Lineage: Eukaryota; Metazoa; Chordata; Mammalia; Artiodactyla; Bovidae
Description: long non-coding RNA NONBTAT011624
Source: RNAcentral
AAUGUUAUAAACUCAUGAAAUAGAUAUUAUUUGUGUUUUACUGAGCAUAGAACUCACAUGACAUAUUUGAACUGUUUACUCAAAGCUGCUUCAAUUUUUCUAAUAUUACCAUUGAAAAUACAUGAUUUAAAGGGAAUAGAGUUUUAUUUAUUAUACUGCUUUGUGAAACAUUCAGUAUCUCUUUUGACAUAUGUUUUUAAAGUAAGUUUUCAUGCAGAACACUAAAAUAUCUAUUGGUAAUGCCUUUCCUCUUUAGGCUAAAAAACAAGCUGGUUUCCUAUUUACUUACAAUUAUCUCAUGCAAUACUUAUUCCUUUGUAAAUGUUGAGACUCUUAGCUUUAUCUGUUUGAACAAAACUAGUUUUUACAAAAGUCUUAGCCCAAAUGCUUAAAGAAAUGGUCAUGUUGGCAGGUAGGGAAAUUCAUUUCUGUAUUAAAUAGUACCAUGUGAGGAAUAUAUCACAAAAGGUUAACCACAAAAAAUAAGAGCAUAUUCGAAGUAAUAGUCUCCUUUGAUUAAAUUUCAACACUUUUGUUGGAAUGUAUAUACUAAUAACUUUAAGUAUAACUUCAACUUUUUUGUAUGGAUUUAAAAAACUUUAAAUAACUUUUUGUAUGGAUUUAAAAACUACUUCCUCACAUGGCCAUGGGCC